AAAUUUUAUUUUAUUUUAUUUUUUAAAUUUGAAAUGAUUUGAAAUUUGGGAUCCGUAUCAGAAUUUCAGACGUUGCAGGCACAUGCAUGGUGAUAUUCAGGAGAUCUAUUUUGUGUUUCUAUUUCAAUGGUAUUGCGUUGACCUGGACAUUAGAGUUUUGUUCCCAAGUCCUCUUGUGUCUGGUGAUUAGCUCUUGAAUAAUUUCUAUGCUGAAUUUGUCAUGUGGCUAUGGCUUCUUUCUUCUUUGAAUCUCCAUUGUAUUAUUUGCUGUGGUAGAAUUUACUGGGUUCUGUUAAUGCUGCAGAUUGGGAUUCUGGACGUGGUGGU
RNAcentral lists this unclassified non-coding RNA (327 nucleotides) under Hevea brasiliensis (rubber tree). The record is from RNAcentral. Lineage: Eukaryota; Viridiplantae; Streptophyta; Magnoliopsida; Malpighiales; Euphorbiaceae.